RNAcentral lists this ribosomal RNA (347 nucleotides) under Bacillus paralicheniformis. RNAcentral's name for it is "bacterial SSU rRNA". It matches the Rfam family "Bacterial small subunit ribosomal RNA", at positions 1 to 336 of the family's 1533-position model. Lineage: Bacteria; Bacillati; Bacillota; Bacilli; Caryophanales; Bacillaceae. The record is from RNAcentral.
UUUAUCGGAGAGUUUGAUCCUGGCUCAGGACGAACGCUGGCGGCGUGCCUAAUACAUGCAAGUCGAGCGGACAGAUGGGAGCUUGCUCCCUGAUGUCAGCGGCGGACGGGUGAGUAACACGUGGGUAACCUGCCUGUAAGACUGGGAUAACUCCGGGAAACCGGGGCUAAUACCGGAUGCUUGAUUGAACCGCAUGGUUCAAUUAUAAAAGGUGGCUUUCAGCUACCACUUACAGAUGGACCCGCGGCGCAUUAGCUAGUUGGUGAGGUAACGGCUCACCAAGGCAACGAUGCGUAGCCGACCUGAGAGGGUGAUCGGCCACACUGGGACUGAGACACGGCCCAGAC